UUGCUGGCACCCAUGGCCCACAGGCGUGCAGCCCAAACAUGCGAGCACGUGGCUCGCAAGCAUGCAGGACCUAUAGUGCGUGCGGCCCAAAGCACAGCCCUAGUGCAUGCGAUCCAAGGCAGAGUCGCGAUCCAUCGUGCGGUCUAGGAGACUGCAUCAUGCGGUUCACCAUGGUGCUUGUCACAGUCCAUCGGAUGAGCACAUGAUCAUGGGCUAUUUUGGGUGAUCGGAC
RNAcentral lists this long non-coding RNA (232 nucleotides) under Elaeis guineensis (African oil palm). Its description in RNAcentral is "long non-coding RNA (EGUI_LNC012812)". The record is from RNAcentral. Lineage: Eukaryota; Viridiplantae; Streptophyta; Magnoliopsida; Arecales; Arecaceae.